CCUCCCUCUGCUCUCGCAGGGGGAGCGUGACGCGGCGUGGGGACGAGAACGAGGGGAUGCGCCUGCGCAGGACGUAGUCCUUCGGGUGAGGGCGGGAGCGUUAAGCUCCGCGCCAGCGGGCUGGAAGUCGUUCCCGAAAAUGGGAGGUCUGUGCCUUUCGGGCACUCCGGAGAGGAUAAUGUCUAUAUUUUUGCCGAUAAAAAAUUAUCUGGGUUCCAGAUCCAAGAGAGAAAAGCAGUUUGACUUAAGCAAAGGGGACACGGGUUCAAGCCCUGGUCUGGAAGGAUCCCACAUGCCGAGGAGCAACUAGGCCCGUGAGCCACAACUACUGAGCCUGCACGUCUGGAGUUUGUGCUCCGCAACGAGAGAGGCCGCGACAGUGAGAGGCCCGCGCACCGCGAUGAAGAGUAGCCCCUGCUCGCCACAACUAGAGAAAGCCCUCGCACAGAAACGAAGACCCAAC
Long non-coding RNA from Eubalaena glacialis (North Atlantic right whale), 463 nucleotides. RefSeq lists it as uncharacterized. Lineage: Eukaryota; Metazoa; Chordata; Mammalia; Artiodactyla; Balaenidae. The transcript has 3 exons. The record is from RefSeq and is a predicted model, not a curated record.